UGUAAGCGUAUACCAAAGUUGUUGCAGUUAAAACGCUCGUAGUCGGAAUUUGGCAGUUCCGGAUGUGUGCACGUCGUGUGCGCACUUCGCGGGGAUUGCUUUUGUGGUCUUGCGUAGGAUGAGGCACUUUUAAUAGUGAACGUCCUCACGCAACCACUUUUUACUGUGAGAAAAUCAGAGUGCUCAAAGCAGGCAUUUGCCGUGAAUGUAUUAGCAUGGAAUAAUAGAAUAGGACUUGGUUCUAUUUUGUUGGUUUGUUGGGACUGAGUAAUGAUUAAGAGGGACAGUUGGGGGCAUUUGUAUUUCGGUGCUAGAGGUGAAAUUCUUAGAUUACCGAAAGACAAACUGCUGCGAAAGCGUCUGCCAAGGAUGUUUUCAUUGA
This 382-nucleotide ribosomal RNA is filed under the name uncultured eukaryote. RNAcentral describes it as "partial 18S ribosomal RNA". It matches the Rfam family "Eukaryotic small subunit ribosomal RNA", at positions 592 to 976 of the family's 1831-position model. The record is from RNAcentral.